UGCAAGCGUCCUAGCGCUUCGGGCUGCCCGUGCCCGGCGCGUAUUCACUUCCUUGCCAGAGAAGUUUGCCCAGGUCAAGUGCCCGGUUCCGCCGCCGUGGGAGCCGGGUUCCACCGGCCCGGGGACAAUU
This is a small nucleolar RNA of Terrapene triunguis (Three-toed box turtle), 130 nucleotides long. Ensembl annotates it as small nucleolar RNA SNORA5. The record is from Ensembl. NCBI's taxonomy places the organism in Eukaryota, Metazoa, Chordata, Testudines, Emydidae.